GGCUACGAGGACGAACGCUGGCGGCGUGCUUAACACAUGCAAGUCGAACGGUAAGGCCCUUCGGGGUACACGAGUGGCGAACGGGUGAGUAACACGUGGGUGAUCUGCCCUGCACUUCGGGAUAAGCCUGGGAAACUGGGUCUAAUACCGGAUAGGACCAUGGACUUCACGGUUUGUGGUGGAAAGCUUUUGCGGUGUGGGAUGGGCCCGCGGCCUAUCAGCUUGUUGGUGGGGUAAUGGCCUACCAAGGCGACGACGGGUAGCCGGCCUGAGAGGGUGUCCGGCCACACUGGGACUGAGAUACGGCCCAGACUCCUACGGGAGGCAGCAGUGGGGAAUAUUGCACAAUGGGCGCAAGCCUGAUGCAGCGACGCCGCGUGAGGGAUGACGGCCUUCGGGUUGUAAACCUCUUUCAAUAGGGACGAAGCGCAAGUGACGGUACCUAUAGAAGAAGCACCGGCCAACUACGUG
Molecule: ribosomal RNA, 471 nt
Filed under: uncultured bacterium
Lineage: Bacteria
Description: bacterial SSU rRNA
Rfam family: Bacterial small subunit ribosomal RNA
Source: RNAcentral